RNAcentral lists this long non-coding RNA (1175 nucleotides) under Homo sapiens (human). RNAcentral describes it as "HSALNT0375675". Lineage: Eukaryota; Metazoa; Chordata; Mammalia; Primates; Hominidae. The record is from RNAcentral.
GCGCAGGGAUAGCUGGUGUGCGUGCAGCGGAAGGCGCUAACUGCCCUGGAUGUGGAGACCCGCGGACUGGACGUGAGAGGCGGGCAGGGGCAGUUGGGGCAGCUGCCCCUACAACACUGAAGAAUUGGAAUAGGAAAGAGUGUGGGGGUAGGGGACGGGGACUCUUUGUCUGCAGUUGGAAUGCGCGGAGGGGCAUGGUGGAAUGUGUCGCGUCCCGGGACCGGACGACAGGAGGCAUGUUCUGCGCUAGCACCGUGACUUUGUUCCCAGCGUGGGGACUGUGGGAGAGAUGGAGAGAGACUGGUACAGAAAUGGUGAGACAAGGAGAGAGCCAUAAAGAGGAAGACAGAGAGAAAGAAGACAAAUGCAUAAAGAGGUUCAGAGACGUGUACGUAAAGAUAGCCCUGAAAGGCGACGAAGCCCACAGAGAGAGGUGGAAGAGGGAAGAGGUAGCGAAAGAAAGGGAGAGCUGAGGAGCAAAGAGGAGUGUGGACGAUGCAGAGACCGAAGGGUGCGCAGACAAAGGAAAGGACAAGCUUGUCCAGAGAGAAUGAGAGACAAACAGAUAAACUGCAAUAAAAAGGCACCACCUUCUGGACCCAAAAGUUUUGUGAUUUGUAAAAGCAGUGAAAAGGAGUCAGGAAAAUGGGACUAAUCUCUACUUUGAGAGGGAGGGAAAGAGAUAUAGUGUGUAUGUAGAAGCAGUGAAAAGGAGUGAGGAAAAGGUUUGGGACUAAUCUCUACCUUAAGGGUAGGACAGUUAGAGGGAUAGACACCCCCUGGUGUUGGGAAAUGAGAUUUUUCUCAUUUCAGGUGACUGUGGAGAUCGAAGGCCUGGUUUUAGGGCUAGCGAACACCUUCUCCCUUUGGUUUUGGUCCACAGAAGACUGGUGAUACAGACUCCUUAUCAGUGUAAUUGUGGGGACUGGUCACCAGCUCUUGCUUGAGCUUUUCCAGAAGAAACUUCACUACUGAAAUAUUCCAAGAGGACUUGAUGCUGCCACAAAGAGAAGAGAAUGAAUAAAGUUGUCGGCUUUGUAAGAGCCAGACAAACAGAGAUACCCAGCACUAAUCAACUUUGUGGCAAAUCCCUCCACAGCCUAAGAAGGUUUGCCUAAAGGACCCACUGCAUUUAUGGAGAAACUGAAAAAUGAAAAAGUAGCUCCUAGAACUCG